GACAUAGGUCGCAAACGUUAUCCGGAAUUAUUGGGCGUAAAGGAUGCGUAGGUGGUCAGACAAGUUAUCAGUGGCAAAUCAGGGCUCAACCCUGUGGAAGUUGGUAAUACUGUCCGACUCGAGGGCAGGAGAGGUUGACGGAACUCCAUGUGGAGCGGUGAAAUGCGUAGAUAUAUGGAAGAACACCAAUAAGGCGAAAGCAGUUAACUAUGCUGUUCCUGACAUUGAGGCAUGAAAGCGUGGGGAGCAAAACGG
Molecule: ribosomal RNA, 255 nt
Filed under: uncultured bacterium
Lineage: Bacteria
Description: partial 16S ribosomal RNA
Rfam family: Bacterial small subunit ribosomal RNA
Source: RNAcentral